CCGCGUUAUACUUAUAGACGCCAUUUCUGUUUGCACCUGCUGAAGAAAACAGACGCUUUACUUUCGCUUCGUUUAUCAUUUAUGUCACCUCGAACGGGAUCAUCUGGUGCUUCCCACCCGAGAAGACACCCGACUUCCGUUUUAGAUUCGAGCGUCAGGUGAAAGUAUCGAAAACUAGGAAGACUCAAAAGUGUUCGUUCUCUAUUACAGCCGAGGGAUCCCAUCUGGAUGUCCCGACCGUGUGUUGGUUCGUUGCGUGCUGGCUCAUGGUUCACCAUCCGAAGAAGAGGUUUUAUCAUGGAAGAGCUGCAAGUUUCGUCCAGGACAUUCAUCGACUGGAGCAGUUUCUGUCGAGAGGUAUGUAUGGAUUAUUUAACACGUCGUUCUGUUCUUUUAGGUGGAGAAGGAGUCACCGCUAAGAUCGGCAAGAGGAAGUACAACCGUAGGAGAAGAAUCGAAGGCCAGUGGAUCUUCGGAGGGUAUGAGCGAGGCUCGGGUAAGGUUUUUAUCAUUCCAGUUCCGGAUCGAACGACGGAUACCUUGCUUGACCUUAUACGCGAGCACAUACGACCUCGUACGUAGCAGACUGCUGCGAUGCUUAUUUUUACCUUUAUCAUGUAUUUUUAUUUAAUAAAAUAAGUGUGGUUA
Photinus pyralis (common eastern firefly) is the source of this 648-nucleotide long non-coding RNA. RefSeq lists it as uncharacterized. The record is from RefSeq and is a predicted model, not a curated record. The transcript is spliced from 2 exons. Lineage: Eukaryota; Metazoa; Arthropoda; Insecta; Coleoptera; Lampyridae.